This 503-nucleotide ribosomal RNA is filed under the name uncultured bacterium. RNAcentral's name for it is "bacterial SSU rRNA". It matches the Rfam family "Bacterial small subunit ribosomal RNA", at positions 28 to 518 of the family's 1533-position model. The record is from RNAcentral.
GAUGAACGCUAGCUACAGGCUUAACACAUGCAAGUCGAGGGGAAACGAUAGAGAAAGCUUGCUUUUUCUAGGCGUCGACCGGCGCACGGGUGAGUAACGCGUAUCCAACCUGCCCAUCACUUGGGGAUAACCUUGCGAAAGUAAGACUAAUACCCAAUGACGUCUCUAGAAGACAUCUGAAAGAGAUUAAAGAUUUAUCGGUGAUGGAUGGGGAUGCGUCUGAUUAGCUUGUUGGCGGGGUAACGGCCCACCAAGGCGACGAUCAGUAGGGGUUCUGAGAGGAAGGUCCCCCACAUUGGAACUGAGACACGGUCCAAACUCCUACGGGAGGCAGCAGUGAGGAAUAUUGGUCAAUGGACGAGAGUCUGAACCAGCCAAGUAGCGUGCAGGAUGACGGCCCUAUGGGUUGUAAACUGCUUUUAUAAGGGAAUAAAGUGGGAGUCGUGACUCUUUUUGCAUGUACCUUAUGAAUAAGGACCGGCUAAUUCCGUGCCAGCAGCCGC